UACAGAGGUCUCAAGCGUUGUUCGGAUUCAUUGGGCGUAAAGGGUGUGUAGGCGGCGCCGUAAGUCGGGUGUGAAAUUUCGGAGCUUAACUCCGAAACUGCAUUCGAUACUGCGGUGCUUGAGGACUGGAGAGGAGACUGGAAUUUACGGUGUAGCGGUGAAAUGCGUAGAUAUCGUAAGGAAGACCAGUGGCGAAGGCGGGUCUCUGGACAGUUCCUGACGCUGAGGCACGAAGGCCAGGGGAGCAAACGGG
Molecule: ribosomal RNA, 253 nt
Filed under: uncultured bacterium
Lineage: Bacteria
Description: partial 16S ribosomal RNA
Rfam family: Bacterial small subunit ribosomal RNA
Source: RNAcentral